ACAACUGUGACUAACUCCACAUGCCUGCUGGAAGUCAAUGGGAGCUCUGCUGUCAGUUCUCACUCUGGAACCGGGGCUGAAGGAGAAGCCACUAUGUGGAAUAUUGCCAGGCCAUGGCAGAGAGAAAGCAAGAGCCAAACAAAUUUUGUUCUAGUUCUUAGUUCUUAAAGUCUCCUAGUUCUCAAAGUUUCCUCUAUUUCUUUGACUGAACUGGGUCACACAGCCAGCCACAUCCAACUUCAGAAGCAGGAUUCUAUGUGACUAUAAGAAGAAUUGCUCCCUGGCCAACCUGCACGUGACAUAUGGCCCAGGCUACGUAAGGACCGGUUGAUGAUUUGCUUCUGGAACUGCACUGCAAGGCACCUGCCUAGUGUCUCAGAGUGAAAUCAUAUGUUUAAGUGACAGUAUCAGAACUGAACAUGUGAACCAACAGGCUCCUACAACUAUCGAUAUCUACAGUGUUAAAUACUCCUACCUUGACAGAUGUCAGGCUACUCAGCUGACAUCACUGAACGAGGACUUGGGAAAAGAUGAACGCACAGUAGCACAGCUGUUCUUUACCCUUCCCACCAUUCAGAUGCAGUUGAUGUAAAUAACUUAAAAAACAGAGAUAAUGGCCAAAGUAAAGAAAUCAUUAG
This is a long non-coding RNA of Bos taurus (domestic cattle), 638 nucleotides long. Lineage: Eukaryota; Metazoa; Chordata; Mammalia; Artiodactyla; Bovidae. The record is from Ensembl.